UACGGAGGAUGCGAGCGUUAUCCGGAUUUAUUGGGUUUAAAGGGUGCGUAGGCGGACUGUCAAGUCAGCGGUAAAAUUGAGAGGCUCAACCUCUUCCCGCCGUUGAAACUGGUGGUCUUGAGUGGAUGAGAAGUACGCGGAAUGCGUGGUGUAGCGGUGAAAUGCAUAGAUAUCACGCAGAACUCCGAUUGCGAAGGCAGCGUACCGGCAUCCAACUGACGCUGAGGCACGAAAGCGUGGGGAUCAAACAGG
This 252-nucleotide ribosomal RNA is filed under the name uncultured bacterium. RNAcentral describes it as "partial 16S ribosomal RNA". It matches the Rfam family "Bacterial small subunit ribosomal RNA", at positions 524 to 776 of the family's 1533-position model. The record is from RNAcentral.